UGUCUAUCUUUGUAGCACCCGCAUCACAAGGGUCGCCUAGAUCCCCGAGUCACGUAAAUUGGAACCUUUUUGGCAACGUUGAAUGAUUGUGUGAUGUUCAGAAGUUAGCUUCCAGGUCUGUGUAGCGUGGUGACCAGCAUUGGAUGCAGGUACAUUAUUUGUCGUGACACGUUAGCCAUGUUAGCCGGCGUCUCUCGUUUUCAGAUUGGAGUCGCUUGGCGCUCUAUCCUGUGUCAUAAAUAUAAGCUAAGAAUGCGUGUUGUUCGCGUGGCAACCACGUCGGUCGGCAGCGAGCUCCAGUUGCGUCAGCGUUAAGUGAAAUUUCUACGCCUUACCGACAGGAUCACGACGCCCGACAGCGAGACACUGCGGCUUCCGUGACGUUGUUUGUUGCCACCUCGGGACCGCCUUCGAUGCAUGGGCAGAAUGAGACGCUAAACACACCGUAGUGCAGUAGAUUGAGCCUUUGUAAGGAGGCUUGCCCCGGAACUAAUGGAACUGCCAUGCCGACCGUCUUCCGGAAGUCCAGGAUACGUCGAUGUCGAGACCGGAUCGGUGAAGGCUCUGUGUGAGCCGCCGUUUCUGACUUCCAAUUCGUGGAAUUUAUUUAGAAUAUGGUGUUGAACACCGCGUGAUGUUUCGUUGUCGUACGUUUUUAUUUAAAUUUUAUUAUUUUCUAAAACGACAAUGUGCCUCGGGUAGAAAGUUAUUUCUCAAAUAUUUUGAGUUUUCAUGUCGUUGCGCGUGACUAACGAAAAGGAGAGGAAGCAACCCUCAACAGCUGGUUUUUGAUGGAUAGUUACGGUGGUGCUGUGAAGACACUUUCAAAGGCUUAAAUUGAGAGGAUGAAAUCCUAAACGCUUUGGAGGAUAAAAUCUAUAAAAUCACAUCAAUCAUACUCUCUAGCUCAUCCCUAAAAGUGGGGCAUAUAUAAAUGAUGUCUCUAGUAGACCUACUUCUACUAUGCAAACUACUAGAGGCAUGGCACGUGUGCCAGGGUGGCCAGUAAGGGUAUGCACUAACUUUCCCUGUUUGUUAUAUUGGUCUCGCUGGUCAGCUGAGGAUAUUGCUUGUUUUUGUGCUUUUCAUGUAGACUGCAAAUUAAGUCACAUUUUUCUUUGCCACUUGAAACCUAAUAAAUUCUGAAUUUGUACUUGCAGGUCGAUUUCUUCAGUAUUUUUUCCAAAGAAAAUCUGGCUAACCCUGCAUUGCUGUCUCAAAGAACAGCUCCCGCCUGUCUAGCCGACUCUGGCUAGCUUUGGUUCUUCGCACAGCGCCCUUAUUCGUACUACUCACGCCAAGUCAUUGGGCCACAUUUGAAGUUGCUGGGUGUUGACCAAUUGGUAGUUUAGAUAGUUUAUUUACUUUUGUUUACUCAACUGCCAGGGUGCAGCAGCCAUGUUAUGGCUUUUCUUGCUCUCUCUACAGAGUUGCAUCUCUUCUGAUCGGUUUUGUAUCGUAAUCGGUCUUUUCUUUAUGUUCACAGGUAUGUUCAUUCUGCCCCUAACCCUUAACCCUUUAAGUGCCGGGGUGUUUUUCCGUAUGCCAAACACAAAUUUUGGUCUUGGUAGCACUGUAGCAUGCUUUGUCAAGAAUAUUUAUUUAUCAAAGAUGCAUAGCUCUAUGGGCAAAAAUUCUGCAUGCCGUCAAACUAGGAGAAUUUUUCUAGUAUAUUGUAUUGCUCGGGGCAUCGCACCUUGACUUCGCCCCCUGGGCCGGUUUUCUCGAAGUGAUGGUAAACCCAUUUUGGUAAACCACGGUGCCUAGGAAGGAAAA
Ixodes scapularis (black-legged tick) is the source of this 1776-nucleotide RNA transcript. It is a transcript of the gene named zinc finger protein 271, with no coding region annotated. NCBI's taxonomy places the organism in Eukaryota, Metazoa, Arthropoda, Arachnida, Ixodida, Ixodidae. The transcript has 3 exons. The record is from RefSeq and is a predicted model, not a curated record.